Molecule: long non-coding RNA, 926 nt
Organism: Tupaia belangeri chinensis (Chinese tree shrew)
Lineage: Eukaryota; Metazoa; Chordata; Mammalia; Scandentia; Tupaiidae
Exons: 3
Source: RefSeq, a predicted model, not a curated record
UGCAGGUCUCUGUGCAGGAGGCAACCACCCCUGUCUGCAGGCUGUGCUGGGUUCUGUCUCUUCCCCACCUGAUCUGAAGUGAAGCGAAUCGAGAGUGCUGAGCCAAAUCUCAAGUGGUCUUAGCUCAGAGGGGCCUCUGGUCACUUCUGGGCGGCUUGACACUCACCAGCGGCUGGGCGCCCGGGGUACCCUGGACGGGUUAGUUACCCUGAGCUCCAGCUUCACAGUCUACCUUGACGAGGGGCGAGACUGGCUCCUACCCUCGGCAUCUGGAAGGACCGUGAGCAGGGCGUGCUGGCAUGGAUUUAAGAUUCUUCUUGCCAGGAGUGUGAGCGGCUCCUCCCUGGUAGGGCUGCGACCCUGGCUGAGAAGGCGGAGAGCAAGUGUUGAGCUGGCUGGGUGGUGCAGGGGUAUUGCACCGCCAGGUACUGGACCUCCGGGCCAGGAGUGUGCAGCCACCAGUGACCUGAGACAGGCAAAGAAGGCUGGGGGAUGCGAGGUGGGACCCUGACGGGGAACUCGCCUUUCUCUCCAGCUCUCAUGAAAGGAAUAAACUUCAGUGGGAAAUAAAAGCAGGAACACUGCUGAGACCUGUGGGAGGACUCACGGACUUCUUAGACAUCAAAUCAAACAACACAAGAUUGAUGAAGAGCUGUGACCGGGUUACCGCCCCUCACACGCUGCACUUCCGAACCAGGAAAGAACAGCCGGCCACGAGGAAAAUCAGAAAGCAGGCCUCAGCCACGGCCAAUAAUCAAGUGAUAGGGUUUGCUCCCUCUCAGUAAUAACCAAAGAUAUGCACCUUAUGGGACCAGCAGUUAGUGUAAUGGCUAUGUCGCUGGACUCCCACAUAGUCGGCCGCGGUUCAAGUCCCGGACCCGGCGGCUUAAAACUCACCCGGGCGCGUGUGCGUGCGUGCCCAAGAU